Non-coding RNA from Microcebus murinus (gray mouse lemur), 1715 nucleotides. The record is from RefSeq and is a predicted model, not a curated record. NCBI's taxonomy places the organism in Eukaryota, Metazoa, Chordata, Mammalia, Primates, Cheirogaleidae.
UCAUUUUAAUCAACAAAAUGAAUUAGCAUGACAUUAUAUUUGAAGCUUUCAUAAAAGUAGAAACUUGUCUGUGAGUAGUUUUGCUGAUAUUUACCUAGUCAUCUCUUCUUUGCUUUCUCUUGAUUGAAACUCUGAUUGUUAUUUAUUUUGGUACACUCACGAAUCCCAAAAUUUUUUGCUGAAAUAAAACCUUUGAUAUUUAGGGCAAGUUUUAAUGAUCUGUUUUCUUUUAGAAUGACUAAUUUUAAAAGAAAAAAAUGCCAAGUCAUAGUCACACUUCCCAGGCAUGCAUCAUUUUAUGACAUUUUUUUUUUUUUCUGAGCAUGAAGAAUUUCUUCUUAGAGCAAAAACUUGGAAGAACAGAGGCACCAAGGCCAAAGCAUCUAAAACAAGUGGAUUAUCUACAGCUGGAACAGUUUAUCUUAAAUUUAUGCUGCAAUCAAGAACAGAGUUCUCAUCUCUAUGAGCUAUGGAAUAAAAUAACAAAAACGACAAGAGAUGGUUGAACUAUGAGUCUAUGGAUUGAUUUCUGUGUUCACUUUCUAAGAAGGAAGAAGGCAAGUGCAAUAACAUCUGGAGGACUCAUGUGAAAAUCUCUGAGGCUUGGAUUCUUCAUGAAUGUGCAUUUCCUAAAGACGUCCACAUUUGAACAACAAAUCUCAUGUUCACGAUGGGCCAGAAGGAGCUGAAAUGACAGCUGCGUCAACACAUGGAAAAUGAAGUAUGGGACAGAGAGCUGUUAUGAGAAAACUCCAUCAGUGUAGCACCUUCGUCACCUGGAUAUUCCAGAUGACACCUGCAGGAUGAUUUCCUGAACACAGAUACAUCUAAGACAGUGGGGUUUUGUAGCCCUUAAUAUACUCUGCCUGGUGCCCAGCGAUAUGCUCCGAGGAGGUAAAAAUGCAAAAUAGUCUCAGUAAAAAAAAAAAAUUAAAUGGUUUCUUAGAAAUGACUGCCAUCCUUAGCACUUAGCAUGUGAAGUGGCAGAUGGAGUCGCAGCAUCUUCCCCAUGGGAGGAAGGACAUGUGCAGAGAUUUCUUUAUUACUCCAGUGCAUUCCUUCCCGAGAUGUAGAAAGGAUCAUGGAAUUUAUUGCCUUUGCUCGUCACAACUCAAGACUAAAUUCAGCCAAAACUGCUCCAUUAUAAAAGUGAAGUUAGAUGGUUGCUUUAAUGAGGCAAGAAGGGGAAAUUCUGGUUCUCUGCCUGAGCUGGAUGCAGCCUGCCCUGAGAGCUAGCUGAGGGUCCGGAUGCUGAGCUGGCCCCGACUUGGGUUACGAAGAGCAGUGUCAGCAGAACGGGAGGCUCAGCCCUCGCUUGGAAACAGAUGCCAUUUAAGCAGAACGGAAUCCACUCUGAACCAGCCCUUGGCUGCCGCCGCAGCUCACAUGGCCACCAUCUGCUGUAGUAAUGUCCCCACCAUGACAUACUCCCUGCUUCUUCUGGUAACCUUCCCAUGUGAGUAGCACCGCCUGAUUUGGGAGGAUGCAAGCUAUAAAUAAUGGCUUUAGCACCCCAGCUCAAGCCAAGAGCAAAAUUCUUCCUCUUUAGGGUUGGUCCCAGUAAAGGGAGAGGUAGAUUGUUGCCUCCGUCUCCUGCUCUCUUCUCCCUCUUGUCAAUUCUCUCCUCUCAAUCUGCCCCCUCUUCCCAGGCGUGUGGUGCAUGCACUCUUGCCUCCUCACCACUUGCAUCUGAGACCAGCUCAGAGCAAUGAGCU